Kogia breviceps (pygmy sperm whale) is the source of this 3050-nucleotide non-coding RNA. Lineage: Eukaryota; Metazoa; Chordata; Mammalia; Artiodactyla; Physeteridae. The record is from RefSeq and is a predicted model, not a curated record.
UUCUUUGUGAUUAAUAAAGCAUUUUCAGACAUUUCAUUUAAUUUGAUUUUCUCAGUGAAUGUUAUUUGUAAGUAAAGCAGACAUUCCCAUGGAGAGCAGAGAAAAUUUACCCUUGGAGAAGUUGAGUGAUUUGAUCGAGGUCACAUGACUGUUAAAAGGAUCAGGUACUUCUGUGCUCACGUGCCCACGUCCAGAUUUCUGCGUCUGAAGCUCUGCAGCUCUGAGACGUCCCUUCUGUGCUCAUGAAAUCUCAUGAGCCCGAGGCUGACCCCCUCCGCGGUCCUACUCAGGCCCUCGGGGCUGCUUGUCAGAAUUUGGAGAAAAGUGGUAUAUCAGAGAAAAAUGACAUAGAUUUAAAAGGAAUUGCAUUUGUCAUCCAGAGUCAAAGUAAUUCUUUUCAUGCAAAGAAAGCAGAACAGUUAAAACAAAGCAUCUUAAAGCAAGCUGCAGAUCUUACACAGGAAGUCCCCAGAGUCAUCCUCCUUCACCAGCUGGCUCAGCAGGAAGGCGCGUGGACCAUACUUCCGUUGUUACCGCACUUUUCUGUAACAUACAGCAGAAAUUCAUCAUGGAUUUUCUUCUGUGAAGAAGAGACAAGAAUACAAAUUCCACAACUCUUAGAAGCACUCAGAAGAUAUGACCCAUCAAAGGAAUGGUUUUUAGGAAAAGCAUUACAUGAUGAAGAAUCCACAAUAAUUCACCAUUAUGCCUUUUCCGAAAAUCCUACAGUUUUUAAAUAUCCAGACUUUGCUGCUGGCUGGGCCCUUAGUAUUCCACUGGUAAACAAGCUUACCAAGAGAUUGAAGAGUGAGUCCCUGAAAUCCGACUUCACAAUAGAUUUAAAACAUGAGAUCGCUCUCUACAUCUGGGACAGAGGCGAUGGACCGCCCCUCACUCCUGUGCCUGAGUUUUGUACAGACGGCGUGGACUCUUCCUGUGCCACCACGUUUCAUUCUUUUCUACCGCUUUGCGGAAAUCCAGUGAAGAAGAAGGAUAUUUUUGUUGCAGUAAAGACAUGCAAGAAAUUUCAUGGCGACAGAAUCCCCAUCGUAAAGCAGACUUGGGCGGGGCAGGCAGGCCACAUAGAAUACUACAGCGAUUACGCAGACAGUUCUGUUCCGACGGUGGAUCUGGGAAUUCCUAACACAGAAAGAGGUCAUUGUGGAAAGACAUUUGCCAUUUUGGAAAGAUUUCUGAAUCACAGCUAUGACAAAAUAGCAUGGUUAGUCAUUGUGGAUGAUGACACAUUAAUAAGCAUCUCCAGGCUCCAGCACCUGCUGAGCUGUUACGAUGCCAGUGGACCCGUGUUCCUGGGAGAGCGUUACGGCUACGGCCUGGGCACCGGCGGCUACAGCUACGUCACAGGAGGAGGAGGGAUGGUCUUCAGCAGAGAGGCAAUCAGGAGACUCCUCGCCAGCAAGUGUCGCUGCUACAGCAAUGAUGCUCCAGAUGAUAUGGUCCUGGGGAUGUGCUUUAGUGGGUUAGGAGUCCCUGUGACACACAGCCCUCUCUUCCAUCAGGCUCGGCCUGUGGAUUACCCUAAGGACUACCUCUCUCACCAAGUUCCCAUAUCGUUCCACAAGCACUGGAACAUCGAUCCCGUGAAGGUCUAUUUCACAUGGUUGGCACCCAGUGAGGAAGACAGAGCCAGGCAGGAGACACGGAAAGGCUUUAAAGAAGAGUUAUAAAGCACGGUGGCCCGUGGGCACAGGUAGGACACAGAAGCAGAGACUGGCAUUGUCCUGCUGUGCUGGAUCACACUGCUUACGUGCGACAUGCAGCCUCGGAAGCUUCCUGACUUUAGGUGGACGUGAUUAUAUGGUAAUUUUCGAGUUGAGGGUGGGGAAGGAGUCAUAGGGGAAACAGAUUUUUGUUUUCUGGGAAAGAUCACUUGCUUUAGCAGUAUGCAGUUAUUGUAAUACACAAUGAUUACUGUGUAUUUUUCAAGCUGUGAAACAGCAGCUUUAUUUCUGUCAUAGAAAAAUAAAUGGUACCAGAAUUUUCCUUCCUGUCCUGUCUCUUCAUUAUAAUGAAAGUUUCAGUUGGGCGUGAGUCUGGAGAGACGUGAUCGUCAGUAAUUAUAUACAUAAAAGAAAGAAGAGGGAAGGUCUCUUGAUCUGGAUAUUACAAUGGGGCGAACUUUUUAACCAUAUUAUUGAUGAUCGAAAUUAUUUCCUGGUAACUCAGUAGGAAGACUGCUGUAUUAAGGAUCAUUCAUAAAACAUCAUAAAAGUCUAGUGAUGAAAGAUCCCCUGUAGUCUAUAAUCCGGGUUGUUACGUUUUAUCUAUUUUUCUGUUUGUACCUCAUAAAAAGAGAAUAAUCAGUCUUCUGCGAGAGCUUUCUCCUCCUUUAUAGGUUCAUCUGUGUUCUAUUUCUCCCUGAAGCCCUAUCUUUAUGACCUACUUGUAACACAAAAGUGUAGUGGCUGCUGCCGGAAGAUAAUAUUCUCAAUAUUAAAAAAAAAAAAAAAGUUGUCAUAUUUUAUUCAAGUCACUGAGCUCUGAGUCUCAGGAAGUGAAUUAAACUAAUUGUACCUGGUCCCUUACUCUUAUUUUUAUUUGUAUGUUAUGUAAUGACUCUCUCCAGACUCAGAAUACACCCCCCAGUCUAUUCUGGGAGGACCGCAUGGUGAUUUGGCAACUUCCCAGGGUUCUUAAACAAUGAAAUUUGCAGACAGUAUUUUGAAACAGCUCUAAUUUCCAAAUCCUAUCUUUAAUAUACAGUAACUUAAUACACUAUUAAUUUUAAAGCAUAUUCUGUAUUUAACAUUUUAACUAUAUAAUUCAGUUUUCUAGAGGUAUUUGCAUAAAAUUUGAUUUUGAAAUGUCUUAAACUAGUUUUGGUAUAGUAAAAUGCUUUCCUUUUUUUUUUAAUAAAAAUUGUUUUUCAUUAAUUUUGCCUGUAACGUUUUUAUAGCCAGGGACAGGGUUUUAAAGCCACGCCACCAAAAGCAUCCAUGCGUGUGUUUUUUAACACUACAUUUUUCUUGUAGCUUAUACGUAACUGAUUUCCAAAAUGAUGCAAGAGUAUUUACCAUUUUUCCAGACUA